Molecule: ribosomal RNA, 497 nt
Filed under: uncultured bacterium
Lineage: Bacteria
Description: partial 16S ribosomal RNA
Rfam family: Bacterial small subunit ribosomal RNA
Source: RNAcentral
GAUGAACGCUGGCGGCGUGCCUAAUACAUGCAAGUCGAGCGAACAGACGAGGAGCUUGCUCCUCUGACGUUAGCGGCGGACGGGUGAGUAACACGUGGAUAACCUACCUAUAAGACUGGGAUAACUUCGGGAAACCGGAGCUAAUACCGGAUAAUAUAUUGAACCGCAUGGUUCAAUAGUGAAAGACGGUUUUGCUGUCACUUAUAGAUGGAUCCGCGCCGCAUUAGCUAGUUGGUAAGGUAACGGCUUACCAAGGCGACGAUGCGUAGCCGACCUGAGAGGGUAAUCGGCCACACUGGAACUGAGACACGGCCCAGACUCCUACGGGAGGCAGCAGUAGGGAAUCUUCCGCAAUGGGCGAAAGCCUGACGGAGCAACGCCGCGUGAGUGAUGAAGGUCUUCGGAUCGUAAACCUCUGUUAUUAGGGAAGAACAAAUGUGUAAGUAACUAUGCACGUCUUGACGGUACCUAAUCAGAAAGCCACGGCUAACUACGUG